Molecule: small nuclear RNA, 107 nt
Filed under: Castor canadensis (American beaver)
Lineage: Eukaryota; Metazoa; Chordata; Mammalia; Rodentia; Castoridae
Source: RNAcentral
AUGCUCGCUUCAGCAACACAUAUACUACAAUUGGAAUGAUAUAGAAAAGAUUAGCAUGGCCCCUGUGCAAGGAUGACAUGCAAAUUUGUGAUGCAGUCCAUAUAUAU